RNAcentral lists this ribosomal RNA (494 nucleotides) under uncultured bacterium. RNAcentral's name for it is "partial 16S ribosomal RNA". It matches the Rfam family "Bacterial small subunit ribosomal RNA", at positions 28 to 523 of the family's 1533-position model. The record is from RNAcentral.
GAUGAACGCUGGCGGCGUGCCUAACACAUGCAAGUCGAACGGAGCUGCUUUGAUGAAGUUUUCGGAUGGAUUUAAAACAGCUUAGUGGCGGACGGGUGAGUAACGCGUGGGUAACCUGCCUCACACUGGGGGAUAACAGUUAGAAAUAGCUGCUAAUACCGCAUAAGCGCACGGUUCCGCAUGGAACGGUGUGAAAAACUCCGGUGGUGUGAGAUGGACCCGCGUCUGAUUAGCCAGUUGGCGGGGUAACGGCCCACCAAAGCGACGAUCAGUAGCCGGCCUGAGAGGGUGAACGGCCACAUUGGGACUGAGACACGGCCCAAACUCCUACGGGAGGCAGCAGUGGGGAAUAUUGCACAAUGGGGGAAACCCUGAUGCAGCGACGCCGCGUGAGUGAAGAAGUAUUUCGGUAUGUAAAGCUCUAUCAGCAGGGAAGAAAGUGACGGUACCUGAAUAAGAAGCCCCGGCUAACUACGUGCCAGCCGCCGCAGUAA